UAUAAUCAAAGAGUUUCUAAACCCAGACGCGUAACAUGGCAAGCAUACCAGACCUGGAUUUUAGAAGUCAAUGAGAGAAGUAAAAAGUUAUUCCUUAGUUGUUAAUUUUCUCGAAAUCCAAAGGCAUAACCUAUAUUCGAGCCAAGUAGUUGAACAUGUUAUUACUCCAAACUCGUGAAAGUGACAAACUGACGAGUUUUCAUUUUGCUCCCUUUGGAAACGACAGGCUGUGGUCUAUCUUGGGUUAGUUAUACCCAAUGAUGUGUUUCUGCGCAUGAGCAUAGCUAGCCAACGUCGCCAUGACAUCGCCUACAAGUCUUCAUACUGUACUGUCUUUGAUAUAAUAUGUAUCUCUAUAUCUAUUACUGGUACAUAACCAUUAUACCGUAGAAUAAGAAGCUCACUUGCUACAUUUUGACUACGUGAAAUGUAACGUUACAGGCUGAGCAGAAUAAUACGGAUUUAUCGACUUUCAUUCCGGUCAAAAUGUCUAAACUACAGUUGCUGAACGUGUAUGUUACUGAACGACUAACAGCGGCAGUUGCAGAGAUAUCCGUGGCGGUCGACAGAACGGUAGUAGAGUUGUAUGAAGAAAUCUCCCGUUCUAAGGAGGAGAAUAACCGUCUGCGAAGGCUGUUGGAUUUGGUUUUCAACCCGGAGAUAAAGUUACACAAAGCAGAAGACAGAUGGAAGACAUAGUCGGUCACCUGUGCAAAUUAGCUAUCUAGCGUGGGCCGAACACCUGUAUGUAUACAUAACUGGGGAGGAAGUGUCGUUUGACAACUGGGGGCACACACGGCAUAUAGAUCUGUGCAGAAGCCGGUCUGACCCCAGUGCAGCUGUAUAGCAAGUAUGCCCAGCAGCUCACUCUCCCCAUAUCUGAAGAGGAGGUUCCCCCGGAACAGCAGCACUGUGAGCAGGAGUGGAGCCCCAGUCUGGUUCAGGAGGACCCAGUGCCCACACAGAUUAAAGAGGAACAGGAGGAACUACAGACCAGUCAAGAGGAAGAGCAGCUUCUAGGGCUCUUUGAUACCAAAGACUCCAUAUUCACUUCUCCCUGUGUGGAAAGUGACUGUGAUCAGGAGAACCCAUCUCAGCCCUCACAUCUUUACCAAACCCAAACUGUGGAGGACAGAGAGAGGGGUUCUCUACUCACCAACACAUCUAUAGAGAUCAAAAUAGAACCUGAUGGAGAGGAUUACAGAGUAUCAGAACCAGCCAGUGACACUCAGCCCCUCUCUGCAGUAAAUCCAGACUGUUCUGCAGCUCCGAGUGAAAACAUGGAAAGUGAUGAUGAGGUGGAGAGUGGAGGACUACAAUCAGGGUCUAAGACACUCGAAUCAAAAAGAAAACAGAUUGAGAAUGGAGAAAGGUUCCAUACCAGUGCUGGAGGCAGGACGGCCACAAUGUUGCCCCGUUUGACAUCUUCUAGUCAAACGUAUGCUGCUCCUUAUUGUUGCAAGGUUGCCACAGGCCUGAACCAAGCUAAUACAAGAGGACGUCCAGCUGCUGACGCCAUACACCCUCCAAAGCCACCCAAAGUGGUCCGUACUGGAGUUACCGAUGAUGUCCGCACGGAUCAAAUUGAACACUGGCCAGUGAAAUGUGAGACGCGGGGUCGCUGCAAAGUCUGCCAGAAAAAUGUAACGAAUACCCUCUGUCAGAAAUGUGACGUAAGACUGUGUUUCACUUUUGAGAGGAAUUGCUACAAGUUGUACCACAUGCCUUAGUGCAAGAUGUUUACAAUGCAGACAUAAUUACACACUGACAAGAUGAACAACUUGUUCAAUAUAUAUGAUGCUUCUUUUAGAACUUGGAUUUCAGAAGUGAUGAGUCAGGCUUCAUGAUGAACGUUUAUAUUUCAAUGGUUUUAUGACAUUGUAUUGCUGUUGUUAUAUUUAAACGCAAUGUUACACAUUGAUACACACACACUCUCUUCUGUCUUUAUCAGAGUCUAAUAUGUUAUGAAUUAUUAUUGAGAUUUUGUGUAUUUAUGAAGAUUUUGCCAUUUCUUUUGCAAUUCAGGACUUAACUCAGGGUUAUACUUGGUUCACAUUGAAAUAAAGCUGUAAGAUUUGAUAAACUGA
Salvelinus namaycush (lake trout) is the source of this 2087-nucleotide RNA transcript. RefSeq lists it as uncharacterized. NCBI's taxonomy places the organism in Eukaryota, Metazoa, Chordata, Actinopteri, Salmoniformes, Salmonidae. The transcript is spliced from 5 exons. The record is from RefSeq and is a predicted model, not a curated record.